This 332-nucleotide ribosomal RNA is filed under the name uncultured bacterium. RNAcentral describes it as "bacterial SSU rRNA". It matches the Rfam family "Bacterial small subunit ribosomal RNA", at positions 568 to 898 of the family's 1533-position model. The record is from RNAcentral.
AGUGUAGGCGGGAUCGUAAGUUAGGAGUUUAAUACAUGGGCUUAACCCAUGAGCUGCUUUUAAUACUGCGGUUCUUGAGUAUGGGAGAGGGCGAUGGAAUUCCAGGUGUAGCGGUGGAAUGCGUAGAUAUCUGGAAGAACACCAGUAGCGAAGGCGGUCGCCUGGCCCAAUACUGACGCUGAUGCUCGAAAGCUAGGGGAGCAAACAGGAUUAGAUACCCUGGUAGUCCUAGCCGUAAACGAUGGACACCAGUUGCUGGAGGAGUCAAUCCUUUCGGUGACGAAGCUAACGCAUUAAGUGUCCCGCCUGGGGAGUACGUUCGCAAGGAUGAA